AAACGUAGACGAAAGCUACGCUAAUACCGCAUACGAUCGUACGGAUAGAAAGGCGGGGGAUCGCAAGACCUCGCGCGAUUGGAGCGGCCGAUAUCAGAUUAGGUAGUUGGUGAGGUAAAGGCUCACCAAGCCGACGAUCUGUAGCUGGUCUGAGAGGACGACCAGCCACACUGGGACUGAGACACGGCCCAGACUCCUACGGGAGGCAGCAGGUGGGGAAUUUUGGACAAUGGGCGCAAGCCUGAUCCAGCAAUGCCGCGUGCAGGAUGAAGGCCUUCGGGUUGUAAACUGCUUUUGUACGGAACGAAACGGUGAGCUCUAAUACAGUUUGCUAAUGACGGUACCGUAAGAAUAAGCACCGGCUAACUACGUG
Molecule: ribosomal RNA, 373 nt
Filed under: uncultured bacterium
Lineage: Bacteria
Description: bacterial SSU rRNA
Rfam family: Bacterial small subunit ribosomal RNA
Source: RNAcentral